GCAAGCAUCUGACGGCACUGAAAGCGAGACUUGACUCUACUGGCAGAGGGGGAAAAGCCACCUGUGAUUAAAACAGGCAGAAAAGGAAGCAAGCACUGCCCUGAUGUCCCUGCUAAAGGAAGGAAAGGUUUCAGAGCCAUGGCAGAGCCCGGACCUGCCUCCCCAGCGCCCUGCUGCAGCCUGCCCAAGGCAUCAGCACACACUGCUCCAUCCACCUGCACGAAGCAGCUGCUGCAAUUCUGCUCUCCUUCUACAGCUCCCUGAAAACACUCAAAUCUCAAAUAAGACACCUCUGGCCCCUGGUCUGCUGGGAGAUUAUCAUGUUAUUACUAAUACUGUUCAGCUGGAAGGAGACAUGGGAAAUGAGGAUAACAAGCUCAGAAUAUCAACCUUCAUGAAGCAGGCAUGUGAGUUAUAUUAAAGCACAAAACUGAGGAGCACUGAAGCCAU
This is a long non-coding RNA of Ficedula albicollis (Collared flycatcher), 450 nucleotides long. RefSeq lists it as uncharacterized. NCBI's taxonomy places the organism in Eukaryota, Metazoa, Chordata, Aves, Passeriformes, Muscicapidae. The record is from RefSeq and is a predicted model, not a curated record. The transcript is spliced from 3 exons.